This is a long non-coding RNA of Capra hircus (goat), 340 nucleotides long. RefSeq lists it as uncharacterized. Lineage: Eukaryota; Metazoa; Chordata; Mammalia; Artiodactyla; Bovidae. The transcript has 3 exons. The record is from RefSeq and is a predicted model, not a curated record.
UGGCACCCUGUCUCCCUGCCAGAUGUGAAUGCAGUGCCGAUGCCAGGAUCCAAAUGGUAGUCUACUGCUGGUGGCAACGACAAUAAAGUGUUACCUCUCCUUUGGAUAAAGACAACACACAUGGAGUACGCCGUACCUGCCUCAUCAUACAAAAGAUUGUUGUUGUUAAACAUUGGAGGAGGCAAAGCUCAUCUGUUCCAGCUUCAUCUCCUGAUUUUACAUAAAGCUACAUCUGCAAGAGGAUGGCUUCACUGAUCUUGCUGUGUAACACCAGGAGCUUACUAAUGAAGACGUGGAAUAUAGAUGAAGAAAGAGGCCCAGGUAAGGAUGAAGAGAGAUG